Molecule: ribosomal RNA, 788 nt
Filed under: uncultured Alphaproteobacteria bacterium
Lineage: Bacteria; Pseudomonadati; Pseudomonadota; Alphaproteobacteria
Description: bacterial SSU rRNA
Rfam family: Bacterial small subunit ribosomal RNA
Source: RNAcentral
AGUCGAGCGAGACCUUCGGGUCUAGCGGCGGACGGGUUAGUAACGCGUGGGAAUAUACCCUUCACUACGGAAUAGCCUCGGGAAACUGGGAGUAAUACCGUAUACGCCCUUUUGGGGAAAGAUUUAUCGGUGAAGGAUUAGCCCGCGUCUGAUUAGAUAGUUGGUGGGGUAAUGGCCUACCAAGUCUACGAUCAGUAGCUGGUUUGAGAGGAUGAUCAGCAACACUGGGACUGAGACACGGCCCAGACUCCUACGGGAGGCAGCAGUGGGGAAUCUUAGACAAUGGGCGCAAGCCUGAUCUAGCCAUGCCGCGUGAGUGACGAAGGCCUUAGGGUCGUAAAGCUCUUUCGCCAGAGAUGAUAAUGACAGUAUCUGGUAAAGAAACCCCGGCUAACUCCGUGCCAGCAGCCGCGGUAAUACGGAGGGGGUUAGCGUUGUUCGGAAUUACUGGGCGUAAAGCGCACGUAGGCGGAUUGGAAAGUAUGGGGUGAAAUCCCAGGGCUCAACCCUGGAACUGCCUUGUAAACUCCCAGUCUAGAGUUCGAGAGAGGUGAGUGGAAUUCCAAGUGUAGAGGUGAAAUUCGUAGAUAUUUGGAGGAACACCAGUGGCGAAGGCGGCUCACUGGCUCGAUACUGACGCUGAGGUGCGAAAGUGUGGGGAGCAAACAGGAUUAGAUACCCUGGUAGUCCACACCGUAAACGAUGAAUGCCAGACGUCAGGGGGCUUGCCCUUUGGUGUCACACCUAACGGAUUAAGCAUUCCGCCUGGGGAGUACGGUCGCAAGAUU